GAACUCACUUACAUUUCCAACAGUAUAAAUAGUAUAGGCAAAACAUCCAGUUAUAUAUGUUAAAACAAGGAAACCAAACCCAACAAGUUUAUAAUCUGAAACAUCCACAAGCGUAAUGAGUCUAUGGUAUAAUAGAGACAUCAAUUGUUUGCGAAGCCAGAGGUCGAAACGUAUAACCUGGGCAUAUAAGGGCAUACAAAACAAUUUCAAAUUGCCAUUUAUCACAGGAAAGCCUGAGAUUCAGAGCUAAAGAGAAGGGGAAAAAAAAA
Molecule: small RNA, 269 nt
Filed under: Arabidopsis thaliana (thale cress)
Lineage: Eukaryota; Viridiplantae; Streptophyta; Magnoliopsida; Brassicales; Brassicaceae
Description: ATSL083400
Source: RNAcentral